Molecule: ribosomal RNA, 433 nt
Filed under: uncultured bacterium
Lineage: Bacteria
Description: partial 16S ribosomal RNA
Rfam family: Bacterial small subunit ribosomal RNA
Source: RNAcentral
AGCGAACGCUGGCGGCAGGCUUAACACAUGCAAGUCGAGCGGGCACUUCGGUGUCAGCGGCAGACGGGUGAGUAACACGUGGGAACGUACCCUUCGGUUCGGAAUAACGCUGGGAAACUAGCGCUAAUACCGGAUACGCCCUUUUGGGGAAAGGUUUACUGCCGAAGGAUCGGCCCGCGUCUGAUUAGCUAGUUGGUGGGGUAAUGGCCUACCAAGGCGACGAUCAGUAGCUGGUCUGAGAGGAUGAUCAGCCACACUGGGACUGAGACACGGCCCAGACUCCUACGGGAGGCAGCAGUGGGGAAUAUUGGACAAUGGGCGCAAGCCUGAUCCAGCCAUGCCGCGUGAGUGAUGAAGGCCUUAGGGUUGUAAAGCUCUUUUGUCCGGGACGAUAAUGACGGUACCGGAAGAAUAAGCCCCGGCUAACUUCGUA